Long non-coding RNA from Ictalurus furcatus (blue catfish), 2937 nucleotides. RefSeq lists it as uncharacterized. The record is from RefSeq and is a predicted model, not a curated record. NCBI's taxonomy places the organism in Eukaryota, Metazoa, Chordata, Actinopteri, Siluriformes, Ictaluridae. The transcript has 3 exons.
UAUACAAGGUUAUCGGGUUGGUUUUUUUUCAAGAUUUUUACAAAUCAAUUCUUCUGAAAUAUAAUGUUAUCAAAUUAAACUUUUGCAUCUUUUCUUCAGUAUGACCAGCAAGUUCAGCUGGAGAUCUAACACAACACUUAGGCUAAUCAUCCAAACAAUUCCUAUUAUUGUUUUGAAUUCUAAAUACUUAAAAUGUUAAAUAAAGAUAUUUAGACUACGAAUAAGUACGGAAUUAAAUAGACCAAUCAUGAUAGCAUACUAGCGAGUAUAAAUUAAUUCGAUAUUCAGCAACACACGAGGGCCAUCUUAGCCAAGGUAAUUCAACUACUCAUCAGCUAGCGGUUCACUUGAGGGGCACGCUGCUGUAGGAAAAUAAUCAACGACGGGCUGAGGUGAGGUGAGGUGAGGUGAGGUGAUGUGGCCUGAUACGAAGCGGACGUAUAAUCGCAGAAAUCUAUACCGCAGCAGUUCUCCAGCGAUUACAUUCGUUAUUUAUUAAAGAAUGACACGUCUUCUUCGUGUCGUGUUUAUGGGUAUGUCAAACAAGUUAGUUCCUUUUAUGACUCACAUUUUACAUUUAUAUUUAUUCAUUUAUUGCAGACGCUGUCAUCCAAAUGAGGAAAUACAAGAACAGCGACAUGUCAAGCGGAGAACAAUACAAGUAGUGCUACAAUACAAGAUCUUUAAUGAAGUUCUAGAGAAGCAAAGUACGCAGAGUAGAGGUGUAAGUGCCAGUGUAAUUUUAUUUAUUUUUUUUUUAAUUUAUUUAUUUUUUAAAUAAUAGGGGUUUGUCAAGUUAGGGGUUAGUUAAGUGUUCAAGGAAGAGGUGGGUCUUUAGUUUGUUUUUGAAAAUAGUGACAGGAUUCUGCGGUCCGGAUUGAGGUUGGAAGUUCAUUCCACCACUGACGGACGGUCAGUUUGAAGGUUCUGGAAAGGGACCUUGAGCCACGUUGAGUAGACACUACUAAGCACCGGUCGUUAAUCGAUCGCAGAUUGCGUGAGGGAACGUAAACCUCAAGGAGAGUGUUGAGGUGGGCAGGGAGUGAGGCUGUUCCAGACAAGGCCUUGAAUUUGAGGAAGCCAGCGGAGGGAGAUGAAGAGGGGUGUGACGUGUUCCUUUCGGCUGGCUGAUUUACGUUAUAGCAGCUAUAAAAUUGUAGAUCCCUCACUCCCGGACCCUCACCCCCCUUCUCUCAUGAUAUUGAAUCAUACAUGUUACCAAGAAACUAGAAAGCCCAUCAAUCCCAGAAAUUUAACAUUACAGCUUGGGUUGUUAGAAAGCACUGACACUGGAGACGUCUUCCACAAAUGUUAAACAAACAUCCCCUGACAGAAAACCUCACCCUAUCUGAACGUUCAUUAUAUCAAGCUGUUUACUAUUAGUCUUUUUAUGAUUCUGUGACGUCCUAGUCGUUACUAUAGAAACGAGAACGUAUUAGAACGCGCGCAUUAGCAUAAACAAACCUGUGAUGUGCAGCCGGAAGUACACUCAGCGCUGCUGUCGGAGCAAAUUAAUCAACCCCUUUUGACCAAUCAGAAUGGAGAAUUCAACAGCGCUGAGGUGUGAAUGGAAUAAUAAUAAUAAGCUUAUUGUUGUGGUCACGCACAAAACGAAUACGUCACACCGAAAACUCCUAAAAUGGCGUCUCGUUUGAUGUUAAGUGCACUAAACAGGAUGUAGAGUCACUCCAUUGUUUAAUUUACUAUAUCAGUAGGGAGUCCGAGUUACCUGAGCAGGUCAGCUAGUGGGUCUCCGUGUCACUUAACUCGGGCUUGAAAACAAAACCGAGUCAACACCUACCAACCGAGUCAAGUGUACACAAAAUAUUUCCCUGUAGAGAAGAUUAAAUCAUUCAGACAGCGCUGCAGUCCUCCUCCUUCUUCUUCUCCUCCUCCUCCUCCUCCUCCUCCUCUUGGGAAUGUCUAGUGGUUGGAGAAUCAACAUCUGGUCUCGUUACCGCCAACAUCUGGGCUGGAGUCUGGGGCCAGAUUUCAGCGUGUCCAGGGCGUGUCCAUGUCUUCUCCUCAUGCCUCCUGGGAUAGGCUCCAAGUUCCCCGUGACCCUGAAGGAUAAGCGGUAUAGAAGAUGGAUGGACGGAUGGAUCAUUUUCCACAACAAAUACUGCAGACUAGCUAUGUAUUUUGCUUUCAGCGGUGUAUGGAGCCAGGGUCUGAUUAUAAUACAAUAACAGGGCACAACAUGCCUCACAGCACGCUUCAUUUCGCAUUUUACUCCUCAGAUAUAGAAUAUAUUGAUAAAGUGUACUCAAUAUGUGUAACUAACAUCUGGAACGAUUACUUAGAAGCAUAAUCUAAUAAUCAAUAUUAGUUAACAAGCAUAAUCUAUAUGUAUAAUCAAUGUUCAGAAGCAUAAUCUAAAACCAUAAAACACCUUCUACUGAGCUAGAAGACGUCUAUGUUGUACUGCACAGCAGGUGUUUUUCAGCACCUCUGUAUUUCCUGAGUAAAUUCAGUUCUAAGAACCGUGUGUUUUGUCUACAGCAGCUUCACUCCAUGGCAAUAAAUUAGCAAUUAGACAUUCACCAGAACUGUGUUUCCAGAUCAAAGCCCUUUAAGCUUGCAAAUAACAAGCAGUGUCGAAAUAACAGAUCAGACUUCCAGGAUGAAGUGUACCAGGCUGGGACUAAAGCCAGAAAAUCAUAAAGGUAUAAAGGUGAAUUUUGGGGUAGAGUAAAAACCUGAUAAAAACCUUUCAGCAAAUCAGAUGCAAGGCGCAUGCGCUGCAUAAAAUUAACGUUGUCCUAAUAAAACCUUUAAGAAAAUAGAAUUGACCACGCAUGCGCCGCAAAUGUAAGAUAUCAUAUAGACAUGAAUAAUUAAUUAAGGCGAUGGAGACUGGUUUGUUUUUUUAGAAAGAAGAGGUUAAUCCCCCGCCUACGAGAUAAGUUUACUGUUUCAGAAAAGUAUAUAAUAAAG